Rana temporaria (common frog) is the source of this 505-nucleotide long non-coding RNA. RefSeq lists it as uncharacterized. The transcript has 3 exons. The record is from RefSeq and is a predicted model, not a curated record. NCBI's taxonomy places the organism in Eukaryota, Metazoa, Chordata, Amphibia, Anura, Ranidae.
CAGCAGAGGAUUGGGUACCGGUGUACAGAUCACCAAUAGGAAAGAGGCAGGAAGCCCCUCCCUCGUCGAAGCAUAGUGGACUUUACACCUGACUCUGACAUAGAGAGCAGCACCUGACACUUGCUGAGACUACAGCCAUGGCACUAUUCACAAGGACGAUCGGCCUCCUGCGCCAAACAGUGAACCCUCGCAUCACCAACAAGGCAUGGGCGUCCCGGAAGACGAGCAAUAAUUCACUUUCGGCAAUGGACCAAGCCAUUGGACUGGUUGCAUUUUUCUCAGUAUUCUUGAUUCCAUCUGGAUGGGUCCUGGCAAACAUGGACCACUACAAAGGCAGACCGGAACAGUAAACAGUUUGCCUGAACUCUUUGGACAAGGCUAUGGACUGAAGGUGGACCAGAUAUCAGCACAAAGUUGUGUCACCUGCUGAGUUGGUGGAACUACUCCAUGGAGUGUGCUGUCUUUACUGCUUAUUUUUAUACUUAAUAAAACUAUUUUAAACCUG